CAAGGAAUUUUCCCCAAUGGGCGCAAGCCUGAGGGAGCAACGCCGCGUGCAGGACGACGGCCUUCGGGUUGUAAACUGCUUUUGCGUGGGACGAUAACGACGGUACCACGCGAAUCAGCCCCGGCUAACUCUGUGCCAGCAGCCGCGGUAAUACGGAGGAUGCAAGCGUUAUUCGGAAUUAUUGGGCGUAAAGCGUCCGCAGGUGGUGCCUCAAGUCUGCUGUCAAAGACCGAAGCUCAACUUCGGGCAGGCAGUGGAAACUGAAGCACUAGAGUACGGUAGGGGUAGAGGGAAUUUCCAGUGUAGCGGUGAAAUGCGUAGAGAUUGGAAAGAACACCAGUGGCGAAGGCGCUCUACUGGACCGUAACUGACACUCAGGGACGAAAGCUAGGGGAGCGAAAGGGAUUAGAUACCCCCGUAGUCC
Molecule: ribosomal RNA, 424 nt
Filed under: uncultured prokaryote
Description: bacterial SSU rRNA
Rfam family: Bacterial small subunit ribosomal RNA
Source: RNAcentral